Molecule: transfer RNA, 74 nt
Filed under: Streptomyces sp. MBT65
Lineage: Bacteria; Bacillati; Actinomycetota; Actinomycetes; Kitasatosporales; Streptomycetaceae
Description: tRNA-Ile
Rfam family: tRNA
About the family: Transfer RNA (tRNA) molecules are approximately 80 nucleotides in length.
Source: RNAcentral
GGGCCUAUAGCUCAGCUGGUUAGAGUGCUUCCCUGAUAAGGAAGAGGUCAGUGGUUCGACUCCACUUAGGCCCA